RNAcentral lists this long non-coding RNA (891 nucleotides) under Anser cygnoides (Swan goose). RNAcentral describes it as "lncRNA (ENSACDG00005009787.1)". The record is from RNAcentral. Lineage: Eukaryota; Metazoa; Chordata; Aves; Anseriformes; Anatidae.
GGCCGGGCCCGGCUCGGGGCGCUCCCGGCUGAGCCCCGGGGGCCCGCGGCCGCCUCAGCGCCCCCGGCCCCGCUUCCAGCCCGCCGCCAUCUUGGGCGGCGCCUUCCCGGCGUGCCCCGCGCGGCGGCCGCGGAGGACUGACGUCAGUCCUCCUCCGCCGGGAAGGGCGGGGCCACGCCCGCUCGAUUUGCAUAACCACGCCCUCCCGUGCGUGACCACGCCCCCUCGCUCGCCGACGCCCGCCGCAGCGCGCUGACGUCACGCGCCGCGGCGCUCUCGUAGCCAUGGCGGCCGUGGAGGGAGGUAGGGCCCCUCGCCAUCCGCCGCCAUCCGCCGCCAUCCGCCGCCAUCCGCCGCCGGAGCCGCCCCUGAGGGCCGCAGGAGGGGUCGCAGCCUCCCCUCCGGCGGCCGUGGAGGGCGUCUGAAGCUGCGCGGACCCAGCGGGGCUUUAACUCCCGAUUUCUGCACCUCUUGUACCACGAUGCGCUGGGCGGAGGGAGGAGCGGUGGCUCCAGCCCUGCCUUGGCCUCGCGAGGUUCCUCCCGUGCCAGUAUCGCAGCUGUAAAGCCGCCCGCCAAGCCGUGGGCAGUGAUCUGAGCCCCCGAAUCACGCUGUGCCCGGAUCCCGCGGAGGAGGAACGCCGCAGCCCGUGCCGAGCGCCCGCCUCGCGUUGGCACCCGGACGCGCUGAGGAGCUGCCCGGCGCCAUGGGGUGCUCGUGAUUUGAACCCCGCAUUCUGGGAGGGAGAGGGUUGGGGUGGGAUCCCCCCACCCUCAGAGCGGAGGCCGCCGCUCUCCGGAGCGCCCAGCGCCGAGUGUGAGGAGGGGUGAGCGCCGUACCGAUGUUUUGGGGUAAAACCUCUCCUGUUUAGCACUGUACAGCGCCUGUCAG